GUUCGGAUCGCAGGCUGCAACCCGCCUGCGUGAAGUUGGAAUCGCUAGUAAUCGCGGAUCAGCAUGCCGCGGUGAAUACGUUCCCGGGCCUUGUACACACCGCCCGUCACACCAUGAGAGUCGGGAACACCCGAAGUCCGUAGCCUAACCGCGAAGGGGGGCGCGGCCGAAGGUGGGUUCGAUAAUUGGGGUGAAGUCGUAACAAGGUAUC
RNAcentral lists this ribosomal RNA (211 nucleotides) under uncultured bacterium. RNAcentral's name for it is "partial 16S ribosomal RNA". It matches the Rfam family "Bacterial small subunit ribosomal RNA", at positions 1291 to 1500 of the family's 1533-position model. The record is from RNAcentral.